RNAcentral lists this ribosomal RNA (468 nucleotides) under uncultured bacterium. RNAcentral describes it as "partial 16S ribosomal RNA". It matches the Rfam family "Bacterial small subunit ribosomal RNA", at positions 28 to 507 of the family's 1533-position model. The record is from RNAcentral.
GACGAACGCUGGCGGCGUGCUUAACACAUGCAAGUCGAACGGAAAGGCCCUGCUUUUGUGGGGUGCUCGAGUGGCGAACGGGUGAGUAACACGUGAGUAACCUGCCCUUGACUUUGGGAUAACUUCAGGAAACUGGGGCUAAUACCGGAUAGGAGCUCCUGCUGCAUGGUGGGGGUUGGAAAGUUUCGGCGGUUGGGGAUGGACUCGCGGCUUAUCAGCUUGUUGGUGGGGUAGUGGCUUACCAAGGCUUUGACGGGUAGCCGGCCUGAGAGGGUGACCGGCCACAUUGGGACUGAGAUACGGCCCAGACUCCUACGGGAGGCAGCAGUGGGGAAUAUUGCACAAUGGGCGGAAGCCUGAUGCAGCAACGCCGCGUGCGGGAUGACGGCCUUCGGGUUGUAAACCGCUUGCGCCUGUGACGAAGCGUGAGUGACGGUAAUGGGUAAAGAAGCACCGGCUAACUACGUG